This 420-nucleotide ribosomal RNA is filed under the name Anaplasma marginale. Its description in RNAcentral is "bacterial SSU rRNA". It matches the Rfam family "Bacterial small subunit ribosomal RNA", at positions 777 to 1196 of the family's 1533-position model. Lineage: Bacteria; Pseudomonadati; Pseudomonadota; Alphaproteobacteria; Rickettsiales; Anaplasmataceae. The record is from RNAcentral.
AUUAGAUACCCUGGUAGUCCACGCUGUAAACGAUGAGUGCUGAAUGUGGGGGCUUUUGCCUCUGUGUUGUAGCUAACGCGUUAAGCACUCCGCCUGGGGACUACGGUCGCAAGACUAAAACUCAAAGGAAUUGACGGGGACCCGCACAAGCGGUGGAGCAUGUGGUUUAAUUCGAUGCAACGCGAAAAACCUUACCACUUCUUGACAUGGAGGCUAGAUCCUUCUUAACGGAAGGGCGCAGUUCGGCUGGGCCUCGCACAGGUGCUGCAUGGCUGUCGUCAGCUCGUGUCGUGAGAUGUUGGGUUAAGUCCCGCAACGAGCGCAACCCUCAUCCUUAGUUACCAGCGGGUAAUGCCGGGCACUUUAAGGAAACUGCCAGUGAUAAACUGGAGGAAGGUGGGGAUGAUGUCAAGUCAGCAC